RNAcentral lists this ribosomal RNA (271 nucleotides) under uncultured bacterium. RNAcentral's name for it is "partial 16S ribosomal RNA". It matches the Rfam family "Bacterial small subunit ribosomal RNA", at positions 524 to 794 of the family's 1533-position model. The record is from RNAcentral.
UACAGAGGGUGCAAGCGUUAAUCGGAAUUACUGGGCGUAAAGGGUGCGUAGGUGGUUUUUUAAGUCGUUUGUGAAAUAUCCGGGCUUAACCUGGGUUCUGCGAACGAUACUGGGAAACUAGAAUAGGAUAGAGGGAAGUGGAAUUUCCGGUGUAGCGGUGAAAUGCGUAGAUAUCGGAAGGAACACCAGUGGCGAAGGCGGCUUCCUGGAUCCAUAUUGACACUGAGGCACGAAAGCGUGGGGAUCAAACAGGAUUAGAAACCCUAGUAGU